Leopardus geoffroyi (Geoffroy's cat) is the source of this 248-nucleotide long non-coding RNA. RefSeq lists it as uncharacterized. Lineage: Eukaryota; Metazoa; Chordata; Mammalia; Carnivora; Felidae. The transcript has 2 exons. The record is from RefSeq and is a predicted model, not a curated record.
ACCUCGGUCUUUGGUUCCAGCAGGACUCGGAAACUGGGUCCCAGCUCCUUCUUCUAGAAGGUCCUGAGAGUCAACAUUUGGCGUCUUCACUUCCCAACUGAAUGCGCCUCCUGUUCCUCCGAAUUUGUGUCAGGAUUUCUCCCCCGAAACAAGCCUGACCUGGAACAAACCAACCCCAGCCUCUCUGACGUGGCGUCACGGGACCCCAUGAAUCCACGGAUCCUCCAGGGAAAUACCGGCAGGGGAAA